UUUAAUUUAUUUCAUGAUUGGUUUCUCAUUAUAAAUGGAGUGUUUCAAUAGCAAAAAAAGGUAUGUGAAUAGCAUUAUCACAUAUGAUCGAUACAAAGCAACUGGCCAGAUUAUUAUCAAAACAUUGCAUUUUGGACAGAUUUGAUGAGUCGAUCAAGUGAUUCUUCUGUUUAUAAGAGCAUUUGCACCAAUGCUCCAAUUCGGUAGGCAAUUGAUGAGACCCAUCAAUUUUCUUCAAAUAUAACAAUGCGCCAGUUCGAAAUUGCCCAGGCAAUUUGCUGGGGCCCAUGUUACAGUAAUUGCCAUGCCAAUUCAAUUGUCAAUUUUUUACCAUCAAAUUGCUUAAGCAAUUCAGUGGAGCCCACUGAUAAAUAUAAACUUUGCACACACAUAUCUGUUUUUUGCCUCUAAAAACUGAUAUUUUUUCAUAAAAUAAUUAAUGUUGUACGAGCAAUCUCAUUAUUAAUUAACCAAAUUAUAAGUUUAACAUUUUUAAUUAAUGAAUUACCAUUACCAAAAAGAAUUAUUUAAAUUAUAAAAUGUGAAUAGUGGAUUAGCAGGUAAAUUGCCAAAGAUAUGUAAUUGUCAAUUUCAUAUGAAUAGUGAAUUAACAAAGACAAUUCAAUUGACAAAUCAGCAAUUACUCUUGCUUAGGGGAUGCAAAUGCUCUAAGGUUGAUGGAGAUUGACUUGGCUUGAGAACUGGUUUUGUUUUGAAUUUUCAAUUAUUGACGCAGAGGCCGUGCUACGUACCUGCUUGGUCAAGACUAGCAGCAUAUUCAAACAGAUUGUAUAGUUUCAAACUAACUAUGAGUUCCUACGUUUUUGAAUUCAAACUGAAAAAUGGAAUUAAAUAGAGAUCGAGAAGAUGAUCGAAUGGUGUGAGCUUAUUUAACUAUACAUACAUAUCAUCUCCAUAGGCUCCACGCCACAUUCUGCGUGCAAGAGAUCCCCAAGAAUCAUAUGUUACUGUUCCAUAGAUAUUUUCUCCUUCAAUAUCGUAUAAUAGUCAAACAUGAAUGCCCAUAUAUAUGCUUACCUACACAAUUAUAAUGAG
RNAcentral lists this long non-coding RNA (1056 nucleotides) under Fragaria vesca (wild strawberry). RNAcentral describes it as "long non-coding RNA (FVES_LNC002728)". Lineage: Eukaryota; Viridiplantae; Streptophyta; Magnoliopsida; Rosales; Rosaceae. The record is from RNAcentral.